UGGUGGAGUGAUUUGUCUGCUUAAUUGCGAUAACGAACGAGACCUUAUUCUGCUAACUAGUUACACAAACCUCGGUUUGUGGACAACUUCUUAGAGAGACUUUUGUGUGUUGAACCAAAGGAAGUUUGAGGCUAUAGCA
RNAcentral lists this ribosomal RNA (139 nucleotides) under uncultured eukaryote. RNAcentral describes it as "partial 18S ribosomal RNA". It matches the Rfam family "Eukaryotic small subunit ribosomal RNA", at positions 1299 to 1458 of the family's 1831-position model. The record is from RNAcentral.